RNAcentral lists this long non-coding RNA (225 nucleotides) under Zostera marina. Its description in RNAcentral is "long non-coding RNA (ZMAR_LNC005945)". The record is from RNAcentral. Lineage: Eukaryota; Viridiplantae; Streptophyta; Magnoliopsida; Alismatales; Zosteraceae.
UCAGGACUUCGUGCGGGUUGCCGACAGCUGGGUCGGUGGCCAACUUCCGCCGAAGAUCCUCUACGAACCGAGUAGUAAGAGUCCUCUCGGAGCGACUCUUACUAGGUCCCGUCUUGGGACGGGAACUCUGUUUUUUCUCCCCAGAUGGAGAAUAGAUGGACCCAGAUUCAUCCGCUCUUUCACGGAUGGUGGUGGUCCUAUGACUCCUCGCUUGUUCGAGGUUAG